This 562-nucleotide ribosomal RNA is filed under the name uncultured bacterium. Its description in RNAcentral is "partial 16S ribosomal RNA". It matches the Rfam family "Bacterial small subunit ribosomal RNA", at positions 355 to 1376 of the family's 1533-position model. The record is from RNAcentral.
UGGGGAAUCUUAGACAAUGGAGGAAACCCUGAUCUAGCCAUGCCGCGUGAGCGAUGAAGGCCUUAGGGUUGUAAAGCUCUUUCAGCUGGGAAGAUAAUGACGGUACCAGCAGAAGAAGCCCCGGCUAACUCCGUGCCAGCAGCCGCGGUAAUACGGAGGGGGCUAGCGUUGUUCGGAAUUACUGGGCGUAAAGCGCACGUAGGCGGAUUAGUCAGUCAGAGGUGAAAUCCCAGGGCUCAACCCUGGAACUGCCUUUGAUACUGCUAGUCUUGAGGUCGAGAGAGGUGAGUGGAAUUCCGAGUGUAGAGGUGAAAUUCGUAGAUAUUCGGAGGAACACCAGUGGCGAAGGCGGCUCACUGGCUCGAUACUGACGCUGAGGUGCGAAAGCGUGGGGAGCAAAACAGGAUUAGAUACCCUGGUAGUCCACGCCGUAAACGAUGAAUGCCAGUCGUCGGGUUGCAUGCAAUUCGGUGACACACCUAACGGAUUAAGCAUUCCGCCUGGGGAGUACGGUCGCAAGAUUAAAACUCAAAGGAAUUGACGGGGUCAUAGCUGUUUCCUG